RNAcentral lists this ribosomal RNA (253 nucleotides) under uncultured bacterium. RNAcentral describes it as "partial 16S ribosomal RNA". It matches the Rfam family "Bacterial small subunit ribosomal RNA", at positions 524 to 776 of the family's 1533-position model. The record is from RNAcentral.
GACGUAGGGCGCGAGCGUUGUCCGGAUUUAUUGGGCGUAAAGAGCUCAUAGGCGGCUUGUCGCGUCGUCCGUGAAAACCCACAGCUCAACUGUGGGCUUGCGGUCGAUACGGGCAGGCUAGAGUUCGGUAGGGGAGACUGGAAUUCCUGGUGUAGCGGUGAAAUGCGCAGAUAUCAGGAGGAACACCGGUGGCGAAGGCGGGUCUCUGGGCCGAUACUGACGCUGAGGAGCGAAAGCGUGGGGAGCAAACAGG